RNAcentral lists this ribosomal RNA (402 nucleotides) under uncultured Devosia sp. RNAcentral's name for it is "bacterial SSU rRNA". It matches the Rfam family "Bacterial small subunit ribosomal RNA", at positions 355 to 774 of the family's 1533-position model. The record is from RNAcentral. Lineage: Bacteria; Pseudomonadati; Pseudomonadota; Alphaproteobacteria; Hyphomicrobiales; Devosiaceae.
UGGGGAAUAUUGGACAAUGGGCGAAAGCCUGAUCCAGCCAUGCCGCGUGAGUGAUGAAGGCCUUAGGGUUGUAAAGCUCUUUCAGUGGGGACGAUAAUGACGGUACCCACAGAAGAAGCCCCGGCUAACUUCGUGCCAGCAGCCGCGGUAAUACGAAGGGGGCUAGCGUUGUUCGGAUUUACUGGGCGUAAAGCGCACGUAGGCGGAUUGUUAAGUGAGGGGUGAAAUCCCAGGGCUCAACCCUGGAACUGCCUUUCAUACUGGCAAUCUUGAGUCCGGAAGAGGGGAGUGGAACUCCUAGUGUAGAGGUGGAAUUCGUAGAUAUUAGGAAGAACACCAGUGGCGAAGGCGGCUCACUGGUCCGGUACUGACGCUGAGGUGCGAAAGCGUGGGGAGCAAACA